AACCUGCGGAGGGAUCAUUACAGAGUUCAUGCCCUCACGGGUAGAUCUCCCACCCUUGCGUAUUUCAUACCUUUGUUGCUUUGGCAGGCCGCCUGGGUUCGCGCCUGGCCACCGGCUCUCGGGCUGGUGCGUGCCUGCCAGAGGAUCUCCAAACUCUAGUUAUCAGUGUUGUCUGAGUCUUAUACAAUUGUUAAAACUUUCAACAACGGAUCUCUUGGUUCUGGCAUCGAUGAAGAACGCAGCGAAAUGCGAUAAGUAAUGUGAAUUGCAGAAUUCAGUGAAUCAUCGAAUCUUUGAACGCACAUUGCGCCCCUUGGUAUUCCGAGGGGCAUGCCUGUUCGAGCGUCAUUUCAACCCUCAAGCUCUGCUUGGUAUUGGGCCCUGCCGCUGGGCAGGCCUUAAAAUCAGUGGCGGUGCCGUCGCGGCUCCAAGCGUAGUACAUCUCUCGCUCCGGAGGCCCGGUGGUGUCUUGCCAGACAACCCCCAAUUGUCUUCUAUGGUUGACCUCGGAUCAGGUAGGGAUACCCGCU
This 530-nucleotide ribosomal RNA is filed under the name Ascomycota sp. CBMAI 1026. Its description in RNAcentral is "eukaryotic LSU rRNA". The stretch from base 195 to 348 matches the Rfam family "5.8S ribosomal RNA". The record is from RNAcentral. Lineage: Eukaryota; Fungi; Ascomycota.